This is a long non-coding RNA of Misgurnus anguillicaudatus (oriental weatherfish), 390 nucleotides long. RefSeq lists it as uncharacterized. The record is from RefSeq and is a predicted model, not a curated record. Lineage: Eukaryota; Metazoa; Chordata; Actinopteri; Cypriniformes; Cobitidae.
GGAGGAUGGAGUUACGCAACACAAACAAACAAACAAACAAACAUCACAGAGUUAUGAGAGUCACUUCACACACAGCCUGCUUAUUAAUAGGUCAGGUCCGUCUACUUUAUGUACGCCAACGUGAUUAAGCAGAGGGUCCUGAUCCUUACUGAAGCCCAGAAUCACAUCAAUGCUGUGGACGCGACCGCCCAUUCCAGAGCCGCCUUUACCCAGGUCGUGGACGUCAUGUUGUGACCCUGACCACAUCCUUACGUCCAGACGCCGCCGUCUCUUUGCCUCCGGUCUUCUCAUCUCCAGCAUCAUUUCCCCCCGUCAUGUUCUUCAGUUUGUCCCCAACCAUCUGCUGGAGGAAGAACGCCAUGUUCUCAGUGUUUGGAGGGGUUGAAUAGG